Molecule: non-coding RNA, 21843 nt
Organism: Xyrichtys novacula (pearly razorfish)
Lineage: Eukaryota; Metazoa; Chordata; Actinopteri; Labriformes; Labridae
Source: the annotation of a GenBank genome assembly
UCUCCUGACAGCUUUUUUAAUGCAGCCAUGGCACUACGACUCUCCCGACAGCCCAGUGUGGUGCAGCAGUACGGACAGACUGUGUGAUGUCUGUAAACAUUUGUGUUUGCUCUCAGCGGGAUAGAAAGGGAGUGAUUUCAUUAGCAUGGCUCGGAGCUUUGAGGUAUGUUUGUGUGCUUUUCUUCCAACCCGAUGGUAUAGUACUAAAACCAUAUGCCCUUAAGUGCGUACCUCUGCCUAAUGCAUGUGACAGCGCUGUUUUCUCUAAUUAAGUUCUCUCUGUGUGUCUGAUGCACAUUGUAGCACUCCAUCUCACACACACACACACACAGGCCUGCAUACAGACUGUAGUUAACAACAGGGGCCUGGGAGGAAAAUGAACAUGCUUCAGCUCUGAUUAUGCUUACAGUUGGGGACAGAGGGGAUUUAAACAAAGAUUAAGACUGUUUUAUAUUAUUAGAAUUUGCUCGCAGAAGCUCGGUUUGUCUUAAGAAGUCAAGCUAAAGAGAAGAUUUCAUUGUCACAGGCAGGUUUAAGAGUGAAGAGUUGAGGAAAAAAGCACAUAUAAACCAGAAAGUGUGUGUCUUUUGAUGCAAAAAAAGUGGAGUAAGAAGAAAGGUGCUGGUGCCUUAGUGUUCAUACGCCAUCAGUUGCACCGUAAGCACCAAUCCCCCACGGACCCCCUAACUUCUUCGCUCCACCAUGACAUCACAUUCCCUCGUCCCUCCCAGCCCCGCCUUGUCGGAAGCGAUGAGCGGGUGAGUCAGUUGGUUCUGAGGAGCCAUGUGAUUCGGGGCGACGUUGCUGCAAGUGCAGCAGGAUGGGCCAGGGCCUUUUUCAUUCAUUAAUCAGAUGUCCAAAACAGGGGGGCUGAAAGAGGGAGAAGGGGGAUGUCUGCUUGCAUGUGUCUGUGUUUGUGCAUUGUGUAUGUGUGUGUGUUUUUUUUUUUUUGUGCUCAUAUGGCUGCAAAACCUCAAAACAUGGCAGUCAGGCAAAGCGUUUUGCCUAUCGCCACAAGGCACCUGACACCACGCAUGGUGGACCCAGACAGUGUAACAGGGCCCAAAUUGGGCCUAGUGGGAGGAAGUGGAAGUGGAGGUGGAGGAGAGAGAGGCAGCACUGGAUGACAACAGUCGGAGUUGUUGUUAUACAAGAUGUCUUAUUUAGUGCUCCUAAGGCCCGCUAUCCCUCACAGGUGAUUUCUGUACGCCGCCUUGUUGGAGAUAGAUCUCAUGAUGUCUCAGUUUUGUUGCAAGACUUCCCCUCCACUUUGUAAAACCUGUCUUCCCUCCUCUUUUCUCCUCCUAACACGCCUCCAUGUUCCUCCCUCCCCCCUUUUCUUUUUCUACCGCUGCACUCAUCACUCUCACUCUUUCGCUUUUAGCUUGUUGUCUUGAUAGAGGAUCUGAGCUGACAAACGGGGGCAUCCGUUACUGUUGCACUGCCUAAUCUCUGUAAUGGUCCUCGCAGAUACAGGGCUGGUGUCGGGCAAACACACACAGACAUACACACACAUGAAAACACACCUCAACUAACUGGACAACUCAACUCUCAACAUGCAAAGCCCUGAGGUCAACAAUCAUCUAUGUGUUCAGCCUUUUGUGCUCACUACUCUCUGUACAGCUCUCUCUCACUCACACACACUCCCUACACACACACACACACACACAUGGCCCAGCACCCGUCUCCCUGUUCAGUACCAGCUGAGGAGCACCAUGGUUUUGUGGGGAGCAAGGGGAGCUCGUUAUCCUCAUUAAUUAAUGACAAAAGCGAUGUAAUUGGCCAUCCAUAAUCCUCCAUGCGGAGAAGGUGUGACAGGCAGGGCCGGGACCAUCGUCUACGGAGGGAGCAACUCAUAAACACACACGGAGAAAAUGAAGACACAGAUCAUCCUCUUUGUGUGUGUGUGUAGCUAAUGGUGCACUUAGCAGGGCUGGCUUGUAAUGACAAAGUGUUUCAAAAGGAUCCACGUGUAAAACUGGUUAUUCCCAAAGCUGUAGAGCGCUCCUACAAAAAAUGAAGAACAAUUCAAAGGAUGUCACAUGAUUUUUUUAAUUUUUGUCUUUUUUUGGCAUUUGAGUCUGCAACAUGCUGUACCCCCCCACCCCCCCUAUUUCCAAAUGAAAAGACAAGAUUAAUGGCACUUCCUGUCGCCGCCGAUCUCGUGCUAGCCUAAUUAAAACCAUUGGAACAUGCGCCUGGCCAAGGAUCAGUGGCUUUUAAUGAGGAGCUUGUAGGCUGAUUUGGGCCUCAUUUUCUGCUUAAUAAGGCCGGUUUAAAAAGUAAUUUUGGUGGGAUGUGACUCCUUUAAACCUGCUCAUUAUCAAUGAUAGCGCUUCACUUAAGUACUUCAGGAAACGCUGUGUUUAAUUAAUAUUGUGCCGCGCGUGUGGAUUAGCUGACAGGCUGCAAUGGUGCGAGCGCAAGCGAGUGAGCAAGGGAGCUAAAAUUGAUGAAGAACUUUCAAGGGCACUGAUUUCAUUAAGCAGCUUCAUUACAGCCCAAAUAACUCUUCAUGUCAUUUCGAUGCUUCAGUCCCUCACGCCGCACACACAAAGACACACGAAACAACCCCGUGCCAAAGGAGGAAGGGUUUUUACAUUUUAAGUGGAAGUUGGACAAUAACGUUUUGCUCCAGGCGAUCACCUGACGACACUUCAUCUCUCCCUGACAACAUGUUUUCUGUUUCUUGCGUGCGAUGCUAAUGUAGGGUAUCUACAUGUUUUUCAAUUUGUUUGCUACUUUUCAUUCGCAACGUCUUUCACAGCUUUUUCUUUUCAUAAACAGAGCUUUUAAGGUCAAGUAGUUUAAAGGCUUGAGAGUGCUGUAACAACUUUCACUGUGUGAUCCCAACAAUGAGGCUACAAAUGCUCUUACGGCCUCUUCAUCCCAUUGUGAUAAUCUUCUUAGCCCCCUGACUCCACUGUUCAAUAUGUAUGGAGCAGGAAAGAGCUGGACCUUAGGGGCUUUAAGAGUCCUGCAGCCGAGCCUCUCUGGGGAUUUUCUCUCUCCAGGACCAAUUACCACACAAACAGUUUGAGCAGUUUGCUUUAUGACAUGAGGAGUCCAUGUUACACCGAGAUGAGGUUUAGCGUACAUCAGUCAAUCGCUGCCAUCCUGCAGGUGAUUACUCGCAAUUCAUUUACUUUACCUUGCUGUACAUAAUCUGUUUUGAAUAGGUUGAAUUGUGCCAAUAAUCUCCUACAGCUCAAAACAAGUGAGUUUUACGGAGCAAAACAAGAUCAGGGGAGUCCUGUAUUGAAUUGUUUUCUGUAUAAGACAUGCCAGCUGGUUCAAUAGGUAGAACGGUGGGUUCAUUUAUCAAAGUUUAAGGUUCGAUACCCAGCAAUUCCUGUUGCUGUGAGUGCCUUACAUUAUAAGUUUGCUCGCUCCAUGAGUUUGGAUGUGUUAGAGAAAUCUCCUGUUUGUCCUUUUUUAUUUUAUUAUUUCCAUUAAGUGUGAAUUUUUUUAGCCCUGUCUUUAGAGCAGCAACAACAAAUUUGUUCUUCCUACAGGGACAACGAUUGACAAAUUUGACUCUCAUCAAUCCAGUAGUCAACCAAAUAUUCCUCAUUUAUUUACUUAUGUCAGCCUCAUAUAUUUGCACCAAUAGAGCAUUUAAGGGUGCUUCAGUAAUUAGGAUUCAUCAUCUGGGAACCAUGAAUGUUUGGACAAAUCUAUAAAAUUGAUCAAGUGACGAGAAAACUUCAACCUGCUUUCACUGUGAGGAAAAGGGGAGACGUUAAGAGUAUGUCUUCUGAGAACCAUGAAUGUCCGUACAACAUUUUGAGCCAAUCUGUCGAAUUGAUCUCAUAUUAUCUUAUUGCAUAUGAGAAACCUUCAACUUCCUGUUUUUGAAAGGGAGCUGUCGGAGGGUUGCGAGAAUGACAAAAAUAUCCUCUGAGGAUUAUGAAUGUCUGUCCAAAUUUAACAGACUUGAUACUGACAUCCCUGUCCCUGGGCUUCUCUUACAUGUAGAGCUAAAAAUCCCCAUUCAAGGGUAACUUCAGUAAUUAGGAUUCAUCAUCUGGGAACCAUGACUGUCUGGACAAUAUUUUAGGUUAACCUAUAAAAUUGAUCUAGUGACAUGAGAAAACUUCAACCUGCUUUCACUGUGAGAAAAAGGGGAGACGUUAAGAGUAUGUCUUCCGGGAACCAUGAAUGUCCAUACAACAUUUUGAGCCAAUCUGUCAAAUUAAUCUCAUAUUAUUAUAUUGCAUAUGAGAAACCUUCAACUUCCUGUUUUUGAAAGGGAGCUGUCGGAGGGUUGUGAGAAUGACAAAAAUAUCCUCUGAGGAUUACCAAUGUCUGUCCAAAUUUACCAGACUUGAUGCUGACAUCCCCGUCCCUGGGCUUCUCUUACAUGUAGAGCUAAAAAUCCCCAUUCAAGGGUUACUUCAGUAAUUAGGAUUCAUCAUCUGGGAACCAUGAAUGUCUGGACAAUAUUUUAAGCUAAUCUAUAAAAUUGAUCUAGUGACAUGAGAAAACUUUAACCUGCUUUUGUUGUGAGGAAAAGGGGAGACGUUAAGAGUAUGUCUUCCGUUAACCAUGAAUGUCCGUACAACAUUUUAAGCCAAUCUAUCAAAUUGAUCUCAUAUUAUUUUAUUGCAUAUGAGAAACCUUCAACUUCCUGUUUUUGAGGGGGAGGUAUCAGAGGGUUGUGAGAAUGACAAAAAUAUCCUCUGAGGAUUACGAACGUCUGUCCAAAUUUAACAGACUUGAUGCUGACAUCUCCGUCCCUUGGCUUCUCUUACAUGUAGAGCUAAAAAUCUCCAUUGAUUAAAAUAUGUAAAAAGAAAAAAAAAACAGGGGGGACCUUAUAAAUAAAACGGAUAAUAAAUAAAUGCUAACUUGGGCGGUGUGUCACGUGCCAGACAGGUUCAAAAACCCUUGUCUCGUAUUUAUUGUAAAUUAUUUUUAUCUUGUAAGCUGUGGCACAAAGGGAGAAGCUUCCAGAGAAGCUGAUCUGGAAUCAGAGGAAAGGACAGACAACCGAGGCGGGAGAGAGAGGGGGUAAUACAUGAAGUAAAGACGUUACAUUUCGGGGAAGAGAUAAAUUGGGAGAAAGAAAUGCUCACUCUAAUCUCCACAACGGGGACCUGCUUACAUUAUUUCGGACUUGUCUUGUUGAUAGUAUUCACACAGCACAACAUCCUAUCAGGUAAUAUCACAGUCUUUGAGGGAUUAGCGGGAAUAAGAGGGGUUUUAUUCUGUUUUGUGGAGGGGAUAAUUCCUUUGAAAUAUUCGAACAUUUUCAAACUAAUAUGGAAAUGGAUUUCAGCUUUUUAGUUUUUUUUCAUCCGGAGGUUUUGUUGGGACAGUGUGACAGUGGAGGGGAUGAUUUGAGUGAUUGAAAAAGAGAUGGAAACAAACACCGGUGCUGCACUGUAGGAGAAAAAAAAAGGAAGAACUGUCAUGCAACAAAAUUCAAUUAUCAAUGGGAGAGUGAACAUCCAGGCUUUUGACUCAAAUCACACUUUUUAACUUGAUACGCCACGUAUAAGAGUCAGCUUUGGGCAGCUAGUGCUAACGCCACAGUGGUUAAUACAGGGGCUGGAGAUAAGCCAUAGCUCCACUACCUUGUUAUUCCUUUUCAAAGGAGGCAAAUAAGAGGAUAAUAAAAGCCAGAUAUGAUCUGCGGCGAUGAGCAUUGUUCUCUGAUUGUUUUUGGUUCUGAGUCAAACAACAAAAAAACACCUCCUGUUUGUUUCACCUGCUGUAAACCCCGCUGUUUUUGUUUUGCUAAAAUGAAUUCAGAAAAGGCACGAAGUCAUAUGUGAGAUACACCAAACACUACCUAACACCACCUUGUUAAAAGACAAUAUUGUUCUUUAUUAAUCAAUUAACGUCCAUGCGAGUGUAUAUGAAUCACUCCUUAUCAGUGCUCCACUCGCCUUCCUGUGUUAUCUCAGCGGUGCAAUAGAUGGCCCACAGGUCCUCGUGUCUCAAGGUUGAUCAGCACAGUGGACAGACACCAGACAGCUGCCCAUCAGUCUCCGACUACAGAGCGGUCAUUAGAGCCUGUGUUUGUGUCGGGGUGUUUGUCAUUUACAGCUUUAAUUAGACACUGCUGUUAAUGGAGGCGAUGACUUUGGAGCCGAGGAUGAAUGACACUCUGUCAUCUCCGGCAGUAAGGCGACAAUAUGUUUCACUAAGAGCUGAGGAGGAGGAUGCUGCACCAGGAGAAUGGAGUUGAAGGGUGAAGGGAGGGUCAUAUUGUUGUUAUUUAUGAAUGGAUGGUUUCGCUGUGUGUGAAAGUGUGUUUACAUACAUGUGUGUUUGUUAAUGGAGCCCCAUACUGUAUCGCUGUUGGUCCAGGUCACCUGCAGCUCCCUCUGUUGUGUUAAGGAUUAUCACAGGAAGUGAAGUGGAGCAACAGUAAUGUGGAGCUCGCCUCUUACUGUAAGCCCGCCUAGGAGACUGUGACACACAAAAGCAAGAACACACACAAACGCAUACACAUUUUUGUGGUGUGUGAGUUACCCCUAAAACAAAACAUAAAGGGAAAAAUGAUUAAAAUUUAAAUCAAAAUGAUUGACGAAAGAGCUUCAACUGUGACAAUGCAUGAUUAUUAUGUUACAGCUUUAAUUUUAUAAGCCAUAGUUUUAGGGAACUGUGCCUUCACUAGAUAAGACAGCUGAAGAGAGACACAAAACUGGGCUAUGAACCAGGGACUGAUACAAUGAGGACUAUUGUCUGUGCAUGGGGAUAUGCAAAAAACACCAGUCCUUACUACGUUAAAGCUCAACAACCACAGCAGUUUCAGUGAACUUGAUGUUGUUCAAUAAUGAUAAUAAAAAAAUACAUAUUUCAGAGAUUAAAAACUUCUGAUUUCUUUUUUCUUCUUUUUUUCUCACCACAAUUAAAAUUCUGAAUCCUUUGAUUCACACUUUUUGGCCAAAUGAUGUGAUUUUGAUCGUGGCAUCCAAAAUUGAAAUGGAAUAAAAAUAUUCAGUACUCUUAUUUAAGCCUCAAGUGCCUGCAAGUUGUUUUUUUUACACAAUGAGAUAAACGGAAACUUUUGCAAACUUGGAUGACAUCUAACCAAAAACUUAAAAUUGGAAACAUUUUUUUCUUAAACAGAACAAAUCUUUGAGCUGUUUCAUAAGCAUACUACCAAACAAUUUCUGAUGUCAGCAUUUAAAAAAGUGAUUCUCUUCUUUGUCACGCUGGCGCAAUUUGUACCCGAUUAAAUAUGUUAUGUAUGUGAUAAAAUAUUAAAACAGUCACAGAAUUAACCCAUCAUAAAAAUGAUCACUUGGUGCAGCCCUAUUAAAAACUGAUUAAAUUGAACACUGGAGCUAAAAUUUUUAUUUGAUGUUUUCCUACAACAGAAAUCCCUUUUGCAUUUUUUAUGCUGUUGUUUAGCAAAUCACUCAUUUGCACAGGUGUGUCUGUGCUGCACAAUAAAAACAUGUUUUCUUCAAAACACGCCGUUCAUAAACAAAUUAAUUAAUCAGUUUUUGAGAAUUUAUAAAGCUAAAUGUCACUAAUCCAAUCCCAUCAAUUGUAAUCUUUCUCUAUUAAUAUUGCAAAACAAUAAAACAGUGUUUUGAGAUCCAAGCCUGGGAAUUACACGGGACACAUUUAUAUUAUCCCUUUAAGUCUGCACACACACACACACACACACACACACACACACACACACACACACACACGGACUUCUGAUCUUCCUUAUAAGGUGAACAUGGGAUUUCUGGUAAUGUCCAAGCUCCAUUUUCAUUUUAAUCACAGCAAUGGGAUCAGACAAGCUGGCAGGGCGGGCUCGGCCUGGCUUGGUUGAUUGUUCUGAUUGAGUUUUCUUUGUUUGGCAGAUAUGUAAUGCAGCCUGCUUAAGAGGAUUUGAUGAGGGAAGGAGGUUAUUGUGUGAUUUAAUCAUGUUCACAGAGGUGAACCUGCACUUGUACGCUUCCUGAACAAGGCCAAAAGUCUAGUAAAGGGACAAUUAAAUCCUACCGCUGGUAUUCAUAAAGGACUAGAGUGUAUGUCAGGACAUGUCAGUGCCGUCAUGAUGGGUGACGUAAUUUACUUUUAUUUUUUUAAAGGUUGUUUUUUUUAGGCAUAACUCCUUUACAAAAGAUGAACAUCUGGGCACAGGAGUUCAUGACAAUUUGUACCAACCUGUUUUACAAAUUGCAUCUAUGAUGGACUUUAUUCAGCAGCAUUCUCGGCAUGCAGCCGAGUCCUCAUUGCAGCAGGUAGAAGCAUGUGUCAUCACUUAAAUAAACUACCAGCCCUUGUUGAGUGUAAUUAACACACAUAUCACAUACAGCAGAUUUGAGGCUCACUGCAAUUCUUGACAAAGUGUCGGUGUACUCAGGCAAUCAUAUUCAACGGGAUGAGUUCCUUUUUGGCUCGGGUUUUCUCUUUUUAUUACUUGACUUCUCUUUUUAAAUCUGUUUUUUAGCUGCACAGGUUGAAGUGAAAGUGCUGGGUUCAUCAGGUCAGAUUUCUGGAUGGAUUGAGUUUGUUAUGGGUUGAACCUUUAACAUUUUUAAUGUGAUGUGAGCAAAGAUGGAUUAGUGAGAGAUACAUCCCUAGACAGAUAAUAGACAGAUUAAGGAUGACCAAAUGUCAGGAGGAUAAACGGUGCCAUGAACAAAGCACAAAAGGUGACAGCAUACAGAUACUUAAUCAUAUCAAAUUACAACAGUUUUUUAAGGUGAAUUUAGUAUUCAUUUUUACCCCUUCAGAGUUCAUUUUCUUUUUCAAAUGGGCAAAACAGAAAACAAGUUUUUAUUGUUUCAUCAAAGUAAAAAAUCCCUUUUGUUUGGAAGUAUAUAAUUGUUCUACUUUGGUAGUUUUUCAUACUUCUUUUAAAGCUAAAAUGCACGACAAAUGUGUCCACAAAGGUGUCACUGUUAAUGCACGACUCUAAAUAUGCCCCAUAAGGAUGUCCUGAUAUCUAACUGGUCUCGCCGUCUGCCACUGGGAGGAUUAAGCGGGCUGAGGUGGAGGGGUGACUUCCCCUUCCUCCUGAUGUUCACUCUCCCACCCACAUUCUCACUCUCUGCUCCUCAUAAUCACAGUCGACUAAAAUACAACAAUCAAAGCCGCGUAGAUUCAUCUGCAGCUUUUUCCAGCAUCGUGAGGAUAAAGCUAAGCGAAUGUGAAAUGUAAUAAAACGUUUUCUAAUAAAGUAUGUGUGUGAAUAAGAGCGCGAGAGAUAAGCCUAGCAUUAGCUUUGCUCAGUUUGUAGUUUUUCCACCAUCAGCUGCAGUAUUAUUUACAUGAGUCCCAGCAGGGGGUCUGCUGCUGAGCUGGGCCUUCAGCUGGUUACUGGAUGGUAUUUUGACAUGACAUUUUACUCUCAAUCGAGAGAGAUAAGACACCAGCGUGUAAAUUCCUCUUCCUGAAAUACCUGGAAAAACCUUAGAUGAACCUUGGAUUUUAAUGAUAAAAUUUUGAGAAAAACUGUGAAGUGGGUUUGGAUUUCCAGGACGUAAGCAUUACAUUAUUAAUACACAUUUUUAACUGUGUACCCUUAAUUACUCAAUCCUCUUAUGAACCCUUCAGUGCUGUAAAAGCAGGUCACCAUCAUGAGUAUGUAUAUGAGUGUGUGUGUGUGUGUGUUUGUUUGUGUGUGUGCGUGUGUACGUAAUGAAUAUCAUACGAAAAAUCUCUUGUAUGUGUGUGUGUCUAAUAUCCCCUGACACGCUGCCUCAGCACCCAAACACACGCAGAUACAUGACCUCAACAAAUAUUACCCAUCAGCCCCUCCUCCUCCUCCUCCUUCUUUGACAUACAACCAGGCCCAUCAGUUCAAAAUCCCAUUAGGAUAUUCUGUACGUUUAUAUACAUAUUAUUAUUAAAAAUUUUUACAUUAUCUGUACACUAUGUUUUCUGCAGAUACCAUUUUGUAGCAGUAUCUUUUAUCCUGAAUUGAAAAGCAAAUUAUUUUAGUUGUGAAUUAGAAAUGCACACCUGCAUGCAUGACGUUGCGGUACACCUGCAACUCUCCCAUUAAAGAAAUUUCUAAAAUAUUCUAACUUUUCAUUCACUUGCAGUGCUUUUCAAGCCUAUACCGACUUCAGCGAAGCUUCGUAGCUGCCUUGCUGGCUGUUUGAGUGUGACUGGUUGGCUUAGCAUCAGCUGUUGGCCCAGCUCGGCUCAGCUCAGAUUGCUCCAGAUUAGGAGAUGGGGCACUCUGAGAGCAACUAUGAUCCAUAUUAAAGCUGCAUAAAAUGAAAAUUGCAAAGAUUUAGAAGCGGAUCAUAGGCCACAGAGAAUUUAAUCACAACCUGGCAGUGUGUGUAUGUGUGUGUGUGUUUGUGUAUGUGUGUAACACUGCAUAAUACAGAGAGGAUUAUCAAUGUGGGUUGUAUUUACUUAUCAACCCUAGUGUUCAGAGAUGUAUCACAAAUGUUUUAUCAACGCUGCAGUUUUCUCUUCAUCAUGGCUCCCCAAGAGCGCAAUGAUGCAUGAGAGAAGAUUUUUUUAUAAGUUCUGAACUUUGGAGAAAAUAUGACAGAAAAAAAAGGAUUUGCAUUUGUUCUGUGUUGGUGUGUGAGUGGGCAAGAGAAAGUGUGUCUUUAUAUGAGCACAGCCAGGGAUGAUAUUGUUUUAGUGUCCUCAACACUUGUAAUCCCCCUAAAGCUUCAAAUACUGCUACUGUGAAUUCACAGGGUAGUCUAGUAAUAGAGCCGUGCAGAGGUCGUAUUUGUUUGUACUCAUAAUUCAUCUACAAAUAUUGCAGAAAAUAUUGUAGCUUCCCUGUAUUAUUAUUAUUAUUAUUAUUAUUAUUAUUAUUUGACAGUCACAGUUCAUUUACACAUUAAUAUGUGCAAUCAGAUCUGUAAAUUUCAAAUCAUUGGUGUAGAAUUGUUUUAUCUGCUAACUUUGAAUGUUUGCACUAAGACAAAAAAUACUUUAAUAAUUAAAUAGAUAUUCUUAAUGUCUUUCCAUAUGGCUACAUAAAAGUUAAUCUAAGAAAACAAAUCCAAAAAGGAAAUCUAGAAUGAUGAGAACUUUGGCUCUUUACUUAACUAGGAGUAUUGAUUCCUGUAAUUCUUAGUUCUAACAUAGACUCAGUUCCACGGUAUUUAAAAUUUUAAAAUAACAAUCAAUAACCUGUAUGUGGAAUAGAUCUUAUAACAGUGCAGAGGAUAAUGACUUACAACAAUGUGUAUCAGUUGUUAAAUAAAGGUUAAAAAAAAAACUGCCACCUGACAGGUGGGCUAUUAAACUACACGAUUAAAAAUUCUGGUUUGGCCAUCUAUAUUUACCAAUGCAAACGACAUAGCCAAAUGUAAUUUAUAAACCGAAAAGAAUUUAUGUGACGAAAAAUGUCCAAAUAAUAAUCUCAGGGGCACAAGAGUCUUGGCUAUGCAUGUUAGCAUUAAGCGUCAAACUAAAACAAAAUACAUCAGCUACCUUCGACAGUCUCCAACAAGAAACGUCUCCGUCAACUCCGACUGAUAGUGUACUGAUGUUUUGGCACAGUCAUCUUCCUUAUCUACUCCAAUCAGCCAAAGUGAGAACUUUGUCAUCAAUCCAUUUGUUAAAAAUAGUAGUUCAGGGUGCAAGCUCACAGGGCGAGCAGACAUAAAUAUAAGAUAGGAUGUGUUCAGGCACCGGUCAGUAAAAGGAUUGUUCAGUGAAAUUAUUGGCCUUUUGAAUCAGGGCCAAUGAAUAUUUUUAUUUGGACAGAAUUUUUUUUUUAUUUGAAUUUAAUUAAUUUAUUUAUUUUUAUUAAAGGAUUCUGAGACGAGUGUUACAGUAACUACAAUUUUUCAGAAUUUGACUUUUUCUUCAGAGUUCUGACUUUAAUCUCAGGGGGAAAAAUCCAGGUUUUGAAAAAAAAAAGUCCGAGUUUUUAGGGAAAAGGGAGAGAAUUUUGAGAAUUAAGUCAGAACUCUGAGGAAAAGGGACACACCUCAGUAUUUCUUCAGAGACUUAAAUCCUUAUCUAGGCUGUUUUCUGUGACAGUAGCAAUAUUUACACUCACCUGUAAAACACUUAAAACAAAACCAGUACUGUUAAAAAAUGUUGCUGUGGCUCUCCACCAAAUGACAGAAAAGUAUUGAUCAUGGAAUGAUAAGGAUGACAGUUAAAGACCCAAUUGUAAUCUUACACGGUGUCAUUGUUACUUUGAUGUAACAGGUAAAAUAAGGGAAAACAUGCAAAUGUGUGUUUAGAAUAUAUGCAGUUUGAAUUUUGAAUUUACCUCUCAGCAUUGGAUGCAAAAAUCUAACCUUGUUUGAAAGCAUGUUGUGAGUGUUUUUUUCUUUUUCUGUUUUUGUGUUUACAUCUUGCAGCAGCAUGUGUGUGCUCAGCCAUAGGCUACAUGUGCUUGUGAGACCUGACAGAACUCAUGACUUGUGCCCUACAUGUGUUCACCUGUAUCUGCAUCUCCACUUCACACACACACAUACACACAGUGUUUCCUGCAAGAAUAUAAUUUCUCUUCUUCUCUCACUUUCUGUGUCUCUUUCUUUGGUUUUGUGCAGGUUUUUGUUGCAUGUCUCUCUUUCUUCCACCCUCCCUUUUCUUCCAUUCCAUAUUUCCAAAUCCCUCUCCAAGAGCACAUUGUGUGUGCGUGCGUGUGUUUGUGUGUGUGUGUGUGUUUGUGUGUAUGACAGUCACACGCACAGAACACAGACUAAGAUAGAGCAGAUGGUGACCGUAUUCAUUUUUUCCCCGACUAACAUUAACCAUUCAUUAUAGACAGCAGACUAAGCCAAUCCCACAUCCUCCCCCAUGCAACACGUACACACACACACAAGCACACUCGCACACACAUAAUGUCCAAUAAUUUUGCCAUUAGCCUAGUGACGGUCCCAAAAUCUUGCAUGCCCCUCCGUCAGUGUUGAUACUCUCUCCUUCCAGACGGUCCCAGCUCUGCUCUGACUCAAUCUGUUGACAUUUCUGAUUCCGUCCCCAUGACUCAAAAUUUUCUCCUCCUUCACUUUCAGCAGCCCACAACAGGACUGAGGAGCAUCUGACGAGUCCCUCUGCCUCCCCUUCCGUCCAAUCCUACAAUUUUUUUCUUUUUGUCUUUGUUCCUUCCACUUUCACUGUCUGGCUUCUUCUGGCAACUGCCCCAUAAGUAAGAGACACACUCGCUUUUGUUGUCUUCCUUUGUUUCUCUUUCCCACUCAUUCACCGCCUUGCUUCCUUUCUAAUCAAAUAGGAAAAAAAAAAAUAAAACCUGUUAGGCACUAAAUCAGGUUUAAUCUCUGGCUUGAAGAAAAGAUGAACAUUAAUCCACAUCUGUCCAUACAAAUGUUUACCGCUCAUAUUUCAGACCUCAUUAGGCCGCGCUGUUAAGCUGCAUGCCACUAGUUGUGUUCAUGCAGGCUCUAAGACACACAAAAAAAAAUCAUAGAUGCGAAGACUUUAGUGCAUUUCCAAAAAAAUGUGUUUUUUUGUGUUGAAUUCCUCUAGACAUGCACCUUUACUUUGCAUGCCUCCCCUGUAGUAAAAGCAGUCUGAGGAGGUUUUGGCCCUGUGCCCCUCUCUGUGCGCUCCAAAAGGUGCAGGGGUAGAGAACUCUCGCACACUUAGACUAAUGAGAGUUUUAGAUGCAGACGGAGAGCACUGUGAGUUACUGUUCCUCAGCCACCCGCCGGACAUCAAUCGCACCAGGGCCUGAAGGCUUUACUCAGUUCCUGUUGCUUAACUGCACCCAUCAUUGCCCUCCACGCACACUCGCACUCACACUUACACACACACAUUCCUGCAGACCAUCUUGCACAGACACAGUCGAGGCUUUCUGAGGAGUCUAGGAUAUGCUUAAAAUUUGACCGUGUGUAUGAGAACAGAACAUUCAGUUUUAAGCAGCAUUGUCCUCUCUUUUUGUCAACAGUUUUUAGUUUUUGCUGAAAACGUGCAAGAGUAAAACCAGCACAACCAGCCUUGAUUUAAAGUCCUCUGUAAAGUUUUGUUUUCUCCUUAAGGAACAAUGUUUUAACCAAGCAGUUCCCUGUUUUUAUGUUCCAUGCACACAACUGUUUGGCAGCUUUAACUCAUGAAAAAUCAUUAAAUGGAGCAGUGCAGAGUGUAAAGGAAAUAUUGAUGCAUACAAAAUGUGACUUUAAAGCUCCUGUGGGGAGUUUUUUGAUACUUAUGACAUAAACAGAGACUCAUACCAAAAAGUAGACAAGAUCAUAUGACUGAGGGUUUUUAUAUUGUAAUUUGUAAUGCGUGAAACCAAUGAAGGUGGAAGGUGGAAGUCAAGCAGUUAAAGAUACAAUCCUGGUUUUACAAUUAACAUAUAAUAGAUUCACAAUAAAUGAUGCAUUUGUCUGACAAAAGUUGUCAGGAUAAGAUUUUUUCACAGACUGUUUAAGUUUGUAGAGAAAGAAGCAGUGACAGUAUUGUCCUCAGGGGGCGCCAAAAUGAGCACAAACAAAAACUUCCUUAUUAGUGCUUUAAAUAUGCUUAGACUAUUUUCUUUGUUGAUGUAGAUGAAAAUGAAUUCAGUGUGUUUAUUACAGAUGACCAGUUGCAAUCCUUCCUGUUGGCUCAUAGCAAAUGAGAGCAGAGCUCAUUAUUAAAGAUAGAAACUGCACCUUUGAAUUUCUGUGUAACUUUAAGUAACAAAUCUUGAAUCCCAUGAAAGUAAUUGCAGUGUUGAGUUGAUGUAAUUGAGUCUACAGUGUAAUUCUGAUGCACUAGAUUUUACAAACUUUACUAAUUUUGGUCAAAAUAGUCAGAACUGUGGUUACUUUACUGCACUUAGACCAUAUAUUAUAGUGUUUUGACACCUCAUAUCUGCCUUUUAGAGCCUUGCCUUUUGUGAACUUAUAUAUUCCAGUGUUUAUGUCAAAAGUUAAAUUCAUAUGUAUGCCUUUUCACGAUAUACAAAAGUCAACAAGAACGUGAGAAACAUGGUUAAUGACUUUUAGUUUUUAAUGCCUGAAAUCUCUGUAAGAGGGUAAAUGUCAGACAAACAGCCAAAGAGCCAGUCCUGCUUUUAAAUCAUAUACCAUGUUCGCAAUGAAUGAUAAAUUUAAUAAAGUCAACUGGAUGACAUUUUCUGUCUGAAUUCACUUCUGGAGCAUGUAGAGGACAAGAUAAAUAAAGAAAACUUUAUCCACAGAGGGAUAGGCCAAAAUUGACACAAGCUGAAAGUUCUUCACAGGAGCUUUAAAUGAGUGUCUCGGUCAGUACACUCACAUGUUCAUCUCUCUUAUUAGUUUAAAAGACUAAGCUUAACAAUACAUCUUCAAAUGCCAGCCCAAAAAAGCUACUGGAAAUCAGUAAUAUAUGACUCACAGGUGAUAAUAUAUGUAGAACAAAAACAGGAGGCUUGAGAUGGUCUCAGUUUGCAUUGAGCCAGAGCACUCUGGUGCCUGUUUGGUUUGGCCACUUCCAUGUGCCAGUUAUUAAAACACAUUAAAAUCAAAUCUCUGCAGUCCUUUGUCCUGUUUGAUAAUGUUGAAACUCAAAUCUUAGUGAGUGUAUUUCUCUCAUUUGUAGUAAAAAAAAAUCACAUUAUACUGAAUAUAAGCAACAUUCACAUUAUAAGUCUUAAUUUGAGAUUGAACUGCUGGCAGUGUAAGUAAAAUUUGCUUAUUAAGUUUAUUGAAAUAAGACUUUACAUUUCUUGCAUUAUUUAAGAAACUUCUCCUGUAACAUUUUCCUUUUUUUUAAACCCUGAAAAGGAAUUUUAUUUGUAAUAUCUUGCAAUUACAUGUUUUUUCUGGACUUGUCACCGGAUGAUGACUGAAAUUUUAGACAGAAAAAACCCAAUACAAACAUACCUGCUGAGUGAUGAGUUUAUUCAGUGUAAAGACACAUACGUAAUGCACAACAAUGGGAUUGUGUUGUAUUACAUUUUGCAUCUAUUACUCCCUAUCUCAUAAAUGAUAAUAUUCUUUCCAGUGUGACAAGUUGGCUGUGCUGAGAAGUAUCAAAGCAUAUGAAUUAAAAGCUUAAUUUCACAUCGUAUAUUACACUUUGUAUAUUACACACAAAGUCUAUGAGGUCUUACUUUAAUUUGUUAAUUGGUGAAGUUGAAGUCAGUUCAUUUUUAGAAAGUCACGGUCCUUUCUAUUGGCUUAGAAACAUCAUGAUAUCAUGUUUUUAUCUUGCCUUGAAUAACACCUUAAAUAUCAGGUCACUCUGGAUUCAGCUGGAGCUUUAUCCACUUUUUCGUGCAGUUUUCACAAAGUACAACCCCUCCCCCCAAAAAAACACUGUAAAGACACACCACAUUAGCACAACCCCUGUCUAUCCUUUUGUCCCCUCACCGUCCCGCUCCUCUCCUGUCAGUCACCUCUGUGCCCUAAAACUGUCCUAAAUGACUUAAUCUACAAGCCGACGGUACUGCACAGAGGCUGCUGAGCAAGGCCGCUCUGUGUAAGGGGAUUGCUGUAAUUACUGGGAUCUGUGCACCGUAUUUAUCUUUUCAAGGGACGGGUGAUCCUGCCAUAAAAAGCCCAACAUUUGGCAGUUAACUAAUGCACACCAUUAGAUUGAUUGUGCUGGAUUUGUGUUUGUGUGUGUGUGUGUCUGUGUCUGUCUGUGUGUGUGUGUGUCCCAUAUUCCCUGCUGCUGUCAUGCUCUGUAAUGUGUGUUAAAUAAUGCUUGCUUGUUCUCUGUAAUCCUGAUUAAAUGGGGGUUAAUGUGUAUCUGUUAUACUUUUUCACAGACUCUCCAGCCGUGACCUUCUACCGCUAAAGGGUUGGCACAAAUGAGCCGGUUCAUGAGACACCAUUAGACUGUGAGGGAGACCGAGGAAGACAAGGCAGAGGUACAAGCUUCAGGUGGCAUCAGUGUCUCGUCUGUAUUUUUCUGUCUCUGUUUUUCUAUCAUGUGGGAGAUAGAAGACAAAAGACGGAUAUUUGUUGCAAAAUAAUUAAAAACCAUUGUCUGAUAAGCUCUUUUCUUAAACAUAAACCUCAGCAGCUUUAAAAAUCUGACAUUAGGAGUACAAUAAGAGGAAGAAAUAAUGAAAGAAAAUGAAAUUAUCACUCUUCUUGGAUGUGGCAGAGAAACAAACAGAUUGACCACGCUCUUCUUUCCAAAAAUCCUCCCCCGUGCAGGCAACAUGUUCCUCACGUCCAUCUUGGCUGUUUUUUCAGAUAUUUGGUGUCAGUGUGUGUGUGUGUGCGCCUUGUCUCUGUGUGUGUGUACGUGUAAACGUGUGCAUGGGCUUUUUCGUGUGUGUGUGUGUGUGUGUUCGGGUUGUGAAGACGGAGGCUGCACCAGGCUGUCCAGCCUACACACAAACCGUCCCGUCGUUAAAUCACCUUACUGUUCCAUCCAACAUCCACUGCCCUGAGCAUGUUUUUCAUUUGAUGUGUGUUUUGGUUGAAAUGAAAGACACACGGGGAGAGGAGAGUGGAGAAAUAAAAAUGCACGGGGAUCGAGAGAGGAUGUAUCAACAUUGGAUGUCAAAGUAACUUCAGACUCUGCUCUCUUUGCAUUUAUAAAACUAACUUUUCAAACUCCUUCGCACACACACACACACACACACACACACACACACACACACACACACACACACACUCUCUCUCUCUCUCUCUCUCUCUCUUUCAUUUGAUCUCACUACUCUGCCCCCUUUCUCCCACUUGUUCCUUAUUAAUUUUUAUGUUUCUGACCUCGGAAACGGGCAUGAGUACACAGAUAUAUUAUAGUAAUUAUCUAAUUUUACAGUGCCAUUAAAUGUCACAGAUAUCCAGAGUUAUGGUAUUAAUUCAAUAAAAAGGGUUUGGGCUGGAGGGAUGAUAACUUAAUACUAGACUAGUCGGAAAUAAACUGUGGAUAUUUGCCACUUUUCAUUUUUCAGCAAAUCAGUAUCCUUGCAGUUAAUUUGACAGUGCCUGCAUGCGAGAUAAAACUAUGAAUACUGUAUAAAAAUGAAGGAAAAGAGUAGAACUUGUUAGUUUGUCUAAUUCAAAUAUGUGCUUGUUAAACCUGUUUUAUAUUUAGCCGAAUUUUCCAAGCUCAAUUAUAUCCCAAAAUAUACAUUUCACAUCUUCGUUUCUGUUUUCAGACAACCCUGUUUUCCACCAGAAUUCAGAUUUACAACAUUUUAUAUUUAGAUUCUCCUCAUUUUCCCCGGAUCCUGGCCGGCAGUAGUGUUAUUUACUGUGGCUCUGACUGAGGCACAUUUGGGAGCAGUUCAAAUUCAAAGCUGUGCCAAUCUACUCCUUCCUCUUUUUUGUUUUUGUCUUUUUUUAUAAUUAUUUAUCACCCCCUCUUCAUUGCCCUCUAUUUUCUCUUCUUAUCUCUCUGCUCGUUUCUCUCUUACCUGUGUCCCAGUAGAUGGAGAUGUGAAAUAUUUAAACACACUUUGUUGUUUGGGGACAAUGCACUUCAGCAGAUGGGCCAUCGCCGCACAGACCCCAAUGUAUGCAAAUCUCCAUACAAAGCAGCCCAGGAUGUUUUCAAUAUAACACAAGUGCCUCAGGCCCUGUUUUAAUCCCUCUUUACCCGCAGCCAAUGCACUGUUUCAUCCAGUCAAACGCCUUAAGCGCUAUGUCAACUUGGACAUCUGGCCACAUAACUGAACCCAAAAAAAAUGUGCAUGUGUGUGAGGAAAGGAGCAUGUUUAUGGAGGGUUAGAUGCGGGGAUAAAGGUGAUAAAGUGCAUGCUGUGGGACGGAGAUAUCUGGAGAUGAAAUGAUCAGUGGUUUCAUUAUGAGUACAUCAAUAAAGAAGGAGAUGUGUCCUUCCUGAGGUGAAUUCUUCGGCCUCCUCACCGAGGGGAAACAGGUGCCACUGUUACUUUCUUCAUUGUCUCUUAACUUGUUUUGCUGUUUUCUCGCUUUUUUUCUCACCCCCACCCUCUAGGAAUAAGCAACCUAAAGUACACACCUAUACACAUGCACACGAAUGCGGCGCGUGUGCACACACACACAUGCACCCUGCCUGAAGACUUUCUGGUCAGAGGACUGAUUUCUAUCGUGGUGACAUCUGAAGGGUGCUACAGCACAGCCAGACACCUGGAUACACAUGGCAUCCUUCACUACUCUGUGUCAAAGUCCACGUGUGUGUACGUGCACGCGUGCCUAUGUGUGUGUGGGUAUAUGUGCACGCUAGGUGUCCGUUAGGUUUGGAGGGGGGGGAAGGUGCCACAGAAGGCAGCAAGUAUCUCCCGAGGGUAACUCAUCAGCUUUUCCUGGAUGGAGCAGGAGUUCAGACGCUUGUGGCGAUGUUGAGUGUCCUCAUUGACCUACAUGAUACAGAAUAAACAUGUGUGUGUGCAUGCAAACAUACAUGUGUAUACUGCGAGAUUCAUGCUUUCACCUGGGAGAAUGAGUCCAAUUUAAUUAAGGAGGCCUUUUAAAUGCAGACAAGGAUGGGACGGAUUAGUAUCAAAUUAGACUUCCUAUGAAUUCACAGGUAACUGGGGUUAUCAAGGUGAGUCACAUGAGCAAAAUUCAUGAGUUUAUUUUUAUUGGACUUAGUAGUGUCACAAAACCUGGGAAAAAUUGAACAUUAAAGGGGAUUUUUAAGCAAUUUUUCUUAUUAUUGUUCAAAAAUCAAGAUGGUUUAUCUCCAAAAACAGUACAUUUACAACAAAAGCACAAAAUCCUGAACAAAACAAAAAUAAAAAUCAGCUUGCAGAAAAGAAAAUCAAUGCAUUGCCUUUGAUACUUUUAAUUAGACUUUAAUUCGACAAAUCUAGAUGGGAAAGAUGAUUUCAAGAAGACAUUAAAUUUUGUAUAUCUCAAUUUAAUUUGCCUUAUGUUUUCAUGUAAAGAAUAUAAAUCUGCUCAUUGAUGCAUAUGGAAGAAGUUAGAGAUUUCAGUUUUCUAAUAAAGCAAUCUAAAAGUAGACAAAGCAAAGUCUGUUGCUUGAAUGACAAAGGAUAUCGAUGGAAAACAUGGUCUAAAGACUAUUUCACUCGGAUAUUCACUAUCUCUGCUGAUUUUCAUCAAAUUGUAAAAAUGUGUUCAAGUUACGAGUAGCUGCUCUGUAUCGCAGCUCUGUGAGCAUAUUCCUUUUGCACUGUGUUUGUAGCUGGCAUGAGAGAGACUGCCUGCAGCUUGUGUGAUGGUCUGUGGAUAUGUGUGGAUGUGUGGAGAGGGGGGGCGAGCUUGUGUGUGCAUGUGUACUUAAACCUCAGGCCAUAGAACUGUGUGUGCCUCAUUACGUGUAUGUGUUUGCACCAGUGUUAGUGUGUGUUUGCAUGCGUGUGUGUAUGCGUGUGUGUGUGUUGGGGGGGUGAAAACAGUGUAGGUGAGUGCAGAAGACAAACCUGUCAGUUUCACAGCUGGUUUCUCUGGCUGCAGGGCUCAGGCCGGAGCAGGGUGACACUCGGCAUCACAGCACCGCAGCACAGGGCCCGGGGUGAACACACCAUCAUAUACUGUAGGCAGACGCACACUCACACUCGCACACACACAUACCUUGUUUGGCUGCCCUCAACUGAAGGACCAAGAGACCAGUGAAACACACCACCUGGGCAAGUCAUCAUAUCUUGUCAAAGAUUUUUUUCUGGUCUUUUUGGCUAGAUGGAGGUGUGAACAACAUCACAGAGCAGAUUGCCUGGCAAUGGACUGACCAUCAUGUUGUAAGGAAAGGAUGGGGGGGAGGUUGAGAGGAACACAGAGUGAGAGAAAUAACAAGAGAAAAGUAUAAUGUAAGAGGAGAAUGGCUUUCUUUUUAAUCGCUGGGCUGGAGUUGGCUUGUCUCCCCGCAUCAUGAGCCACAGUGACUUGAUCAGGACUAUCAUGGCCGCUCUCCACGCAUUAUUGAUGAUAGAAGUUGAUGUGGACGAUUAGCUUGGACGGUCCCUUUCUUGCGUCAAGAGACGGUGGCGUUCUUAUCUGUCCUUUGGUCUCAUUUUGGGACCGGCUUCAUGGUGUGUUCCCGAGCGGAGUGGACUCUGUGGGGAAAAGAGCCUCAGGCAAUACCCCCCACCCCCCAACCCUCCACCCCCUUUCCUCUUCUCCACCUCCCAGUCAAAGCCCCCCUUAUCCACCACCAUCCCUGCACAUUUCCAUCUCCACAAAGAUGGAAGUGAUGGCAAUUUUCUUCAGGGUAUUUAGAGGAUGUUGGCCCUUUUUUUUUUUUAAAAGAUCUCAUAACAGUUUACAAGCAAAAAGGCAUAAAUCUCAAACAAAAAGGGGCAAUUAGGAGACAUUUCAUCCUCAAUGAGCAUGUUACAGGGGUAAUUAUUAUUCUGGAGGGCAACAGAACGUAGGUAUGCCCAAAAAACAAACAGCCACCUUUAGAAUUCUGUAGACAUUUCGGGGAGAAAGACCCUAAGUGUUGUCAAUUAUAAAAAUAAAGGCGGCAUGUUGACAGGAGCAAUGAAACUGUUGUUAUGACUGCUGCUGUCAAGGGAGGUUCCCCAUGUCUAAAGUUUACACAGCAAAUGAUUCUGCCUCAGUGAUUCUGCCCUGGAUAUGUGAGUGUGUGUGUGUCUGUCUGAGCGUGUGUGCACUCAGCGAUCAACUUCUGCUAAAUACUAAUUACUGAAUACUUAGUACGGAUGCCCUUUCUAUUGGGUCCCUUUAGUAUAAACAUUCAUUAUAGCUCGUUUUCUCCUUUGUAGCUCCAUCAUCAUUAUUCCACCGCAUCCCCCGAGGAGUGAGACAGAGCCGAGACCGAGGCCGGACCGGGCUGAGGGGAGAAAACAGUGUAGAACCAGAGCGCCAGGACCUGGGAAUGCACAGAAGUGAUAUUUGUGCGCAGCAGAUCAAAAAGCGUUUACCUUUAGAUGUUUCCCUGAUAUGAAUAUUCAACAUCCUUAUUGAAAUCUAAUUUGGGUCUCCUUGUCUCAGGGGUCUUUUCAUCAGUGCCUGUUGCCUGAGGCCACAGCUGAUUGACAGCCAAACUUUAGUAAAGAGCAAGCAGGAAAAAAGGGGAGAUCUGGUGGUGUUGGAGAUGUGAGCGGUGUGAAGCUGGGCAGAGCUGGAGCAGAUGAGUGGAGCGGUGCUU